UUUAUGUGUGUGUGUGUGUGUGUGUGUGUGUGUGUGCGCGCGCGCACACACACACACACACACACAUUAACU
Molecule: non-coding RNA, 72 nt
Organism: Podarcis lilfordi (Lilford's wall lizard)
Lineage: Eukaryota; Metazoa; Chordata; Lepidosauria; Squamata; Lacertidae
Source: the annotation of a GenBank genome assembly